CCUGGCUGCCUGACAAACAGUCCUCAGACCAGCGGGACCUAUUGAUAUUCUGAUGACAUUUCACAAACAUGGUACUGCCUGAGACUCCAUGGUGAAGAAGAAAUGGACAGCUCAAACCCUAAGUCCCAAGGCUAUGAAGACAGCUGGCAUUACAGCAUGGAUCCUGAUCACACCCAGGCCAAGAAAUUGGAAAGCCACAGAUGAUGCUGGCCAAAUGGAAUGUCUCUGGACUGUGGACCCACUGAAAUUAAGUGCUUAGAUUGUACAACAUGGCAUCGUCCUCCAGGCUGCAACCAUGAGUUUUCCCAGUCAAGUUGUACAGAUGUCUGAUCAUGUUAAG
This is a non-coding RNA of Mus caroli (Ryukyu mouse), 340 nucleotides long. Lineage: Eukaryota; Metazoa; Chordata; Mammalia; Rodentia; Muridae. The record is from RefSeq and is a predicted model, not a curated record.